Long non-coding RNA from Drosophila miranda, 1904 nucleotides. RefSeq lists it as uncharacterized. The record is from RefSeq and is a predicted model, not a curated record. NCBI's taxonomy places the organism in Eukaryota, Metazoa, Arthropoda, Insecta, Diptera, Drosophilidae. The transcript has 2 exons.
UUUGACCUGUUAACAGGCGCAGGGUUACUUUGACCUGUUAACGCGCAGAGUUGCUUUGGACAUCUGACAGGCCAUGUCAAAUUCCUUUUCCGGUUAAAGAUCUCGUCGAGAACGGGUGUGCGCGCAAACGAAUCUUUUGUAAGAAGUGCCAUCAUAGGAAAAUUCCAUUGUGAAACAACUCGACACGGUACGGAAAAGACAUACCUUUCGGUUGAUCGCGAUAUUUUGGCUCACGCACCCGCUGAUUCCCUUGCUCGUACAAGUGGAGUGACGGGGCACGGGAGUCUCGCGACAGAUCCCGCUCGGAGGAAAGACGCCACAGCUUCAAAGACCGGACGGUCUUUCGCUUAUUGCGUGGGGCAGCGACCCACGCUAUUUAAACGCACCCCAUCGUCCAGUCGCCGGCUAAGUAAGCCGCAGAGCGCAGUCAGCCGGGGGCUGGAAUAAGCAAACGCCUUCCCGCUUGGGACCCUUAGCCUGCGAGGAGCACCCUAGACAGGGUUAAACAGCAGCGCGCGCCAGGCGCGUGAAGAAGAAGCAGGAGCAAAUCAGGGAUGCUGCAGUGCUAAAGCCACCUGCGGCCAUCGUUCUCUUGGUUGCCCGAGCGCAGACCUUGCUGCAGUGCUAAAGCCACCUGCGGCCAUCGUUCUCUUGGUUGCCCGAGCGCAGACCUUGCUGCAGUGCUAAAGCCACCUGCGGCCUUCGUUUUCUUGGUUGCCCGAGCGCAGACCAUGCUGCAGUGAUAAAGCCAACUGCGGCCAUCGUCUUCCUGGUUGCCCAAUCGUCGGCCAAACAGAGGCAGAAUUCUCCGCCUUCGGCUGUCCUCUUCGCCCCGACUCUGUCCAGGAUUCCUCUUCCAGCAGCUUCAGGGAGCACAGUUCACCAAAUCAUAGGGUUCAGCGGAUGCUAGCCUCGUCUAUUACCAUCCUAAUGUUUAAAGUAUAAAAAUCUCACAAAAUUUGUAUAUUCAUGAAGAAUAAUUAUCAGCCAACCUCAUUAACGUUCAAGUUCCCACUGGGAGUUCGGGAAAUGUGUUCAGAAUUUGCAGUUAUAAGUAUUGUUAAGACAUCGCUAGUUUAAUUCAUUUUCGUUACACAUUCGUUAAACUCAUAUCAUGCUUAAGCAAUCUUUAUAAAUAUUCACAAGCUAUUGUUGUCAGUUAAGUUCGGAUUGAAUUGUCAGGGAGAAAAUUCCCCCAAAAGUUCUGUGGCUCCACAUACAAGGAGUAGGUCGAAGUUAGGAAUUCUGAGUUGUAGCAAGAGAUAGAGUCUUCGUACUGUAAACCACCUUUCCGAAUUAACGCUUGUUUUCAGCCUACGCCGGAAGAUCGAUCUUUCGUCGUUGGAAAUUGAACAGUGAGCGAGUAAGCAUACCUUCCAAAAGUUGAAAUGUACGUAGUUUUGAAAACCAACUGAUCCUUGCCCAACCUCGCGAAUUUGAAACCUCUGACCCCUGCCUAUUGAGGCUUUGCCUUGAGCGAUCUGAUCGUUGGCUAAUUAGAGAUGCUAUCUGCAUCCAGUCAUCGACUGAACUCCGCAUAGGAGAUCACGUUUUGUCAGCCAAACCGCCUCUUUGAUUUUCGACUCAUUCCGAGGUUAAAAGAUUUAAUGAUUUUUCCACAUUUGUGCGAAAAGCGAAAGUAACGAACUUAAAGUAUUCAAUGAUUUUCCCAUGUUAUGCGAAAAGCGAAAUUUAUGAAUUUAUUUAGAAUUUAACUCGAAUUACAGUCUUAUUAUAUAUAUACUCAUUACAUUAUCAAAUAUCCUUAUAUACCCAACCAUUACGAAUCACCUAUUUUGAGUAGUUAUUAAGAUCAUUUACUAUGUUGCCAUAUCGGAUUUAAUUUUUGUUUUAAGGAAAUAAUGUUGAAGUUUAGAUACAAGAAUAAAAUGGACUCAAUGCUA